Non-coding RNA from Salmo salar (Atlantic salmon), 54 nucleotides. The record is from Rfam. Lineage: Eukaryota; Metazoa; Chordata; Actinopteri; Salmoniformes; Salmonidae.
CACACACAUACACGUAAGUAGCUUUGGAUAAAAGCGUCUGCUAAAUGGCAUAUA